RNAcentral lists this ribosomal RNA (604 nucleotides) under uncultured Pseudozyma. Its description in RNAcentral is "eukaryotic LSU rRNA". It matches the Rfam family "Eukaryotic large subunit ribosomal RNA", at positions 81 to 667 of the family's 3401-position model. The record is from RNAcentral. Lineage: Eukaryota; Fungi; Basidiomycota; Ustilaginomycetes; Ustilaginales; Ustilaginaceae.
UAGUACGGCGAGUGAUGAGGGAAGAGCCCAAGAUUGAAAGCUGGCGCCUUCGGCGUCCGCAUUGUAAUCUCAAGAAGUGUUUUCCGCUUCGGACCAUGCCUAAGUCCCUUGGAAAAGGGCAUCAUAGAGGGUGAUAAUCCCGUACAUGGCAUGGAGCGCCCGAAGCUUUGUGAUACGCUUUCUAAGAGUCGAGUUGUUUGGAAAUGCAGCUCAAAAUGGGUGGUAAAUGCCAUCUAAGGCUAAAUAUUGGGGAGAGACCGAUAGCGAACAAGUACAGUGAUGGAAAGAUGAAAAGAACUUUGAAAAGAGAGUUAAACAGUACGUGAAAUUGCCAAAAGGGAAGGGUAGGAGGUCAGAGAUGCGUCGCAGGAUUCAGCCUUGCUUUUGCUUGGUGUUUUUCCUGCGUUGCAGGCCAACGUCGGUUUUGGGCACUGGAGAAGGGUAGGAGGAACGUGGCACCUCUCGGGGUGUGUUAUAGCCUCCUACUGGAUACAGCGACCGAGACCGAGGAACGCAGCGUACUCGUAAGAGCGGGCCUUUUGGCACCUUUACGCUUAGGGCGUUGGCAUAAUGGCCCUCUACCACCCGUCUUGAAACACGGACC